UACGGAGGGUGCGAGCGUUGUCCGGAAUCACUGGGCGUAAAGGGCGCGUAGGUGGCGUCGCAAGUCAACGGUGAAAGCUCGACGCUCAACGUCGAGUCGGCCGUCGAGACUGCGAGGCUUGAGCACUGUAGAGGCAGAUGGAAUUCCGGGUGUAGCGGUGGAAUGCGUAGAGAUCCGGAGGAAUACCGGUGGCGAAGGCGGCAUCCUGGACCGGCAUUGACGCUGAGGAGCGAAAGCUAGGGGAGCAAACAGG
This 253-nucleotide ribosomal RNA is filed under the name uncultured bacterium. Its description in RNAcentral is "partial 16S ribosomal RNA". It matches the Rfam family "Bacterial small subunit ribosomal RNA", at positions 524 to 776 of the family's 1533-position model. The record is from RNAcentral.